AGAACGAACGCUGGCGGCAUGCCUAACACAUGCAAGUCGAACGGAAAGGCCCUUUCGGGGGUGCUCGAGUGGCGAACGGGUGAGUAACACGUGGGUGAUCUGCCCUGCACUUUGGGAUAAGCCUGGGAAACUGGGUCUAAUACCGAAUACACCUUGCUGGUUGCAUGACUGGUGGGGGAAAGCUUUUGCGGUGUGGGAUGGGCCCGCGGCCUAUCAGCUUGUUGGUGGGGUGAUGGCCUACCAAGGCGACGACGGGUAGCCGGCCUGAGAGGGUGUCCGGCCACACUGGGACUGAGAUACGGCCCAGACUCCUACGGGAGGCAGCAGUGGGGAAUAUUGCACAAUGGGCGCAAGCCUGAUGCAGCGACGCCGCGUGAGGGAUGACGGCCUUCGGGUUGUAAACCUCUUUCAGUCACGACGAAGCGCAAGUGACGGUAGUGACAGAAGAGCACCGGCCAACUACGUGCCAGCAGCCGCGGU
This 480-nucleotide ribosomal RNA is filed under the name uncultured bacterium. RNAcentral's name for it is "SSU rRNA". It matches the Rfam family "Bacterial small subunit ribosomal RNA", at positions 26 to 521 of the family's 1533-position model. The record is from RNAcentral.